RNAcentral lists this non-coding RNA (797 nucleotides) under Parnassius nomion. Lineage: Eukaryota; Metazoa; Arthropoda; Insecta; Lepidoptera; Papilionidae. The record is from RNAcentral.
AUGAGAAAAUUUUAUAUAUAAAUAAAUUUUUAUGAUUUAAAAAAAUUUAAUUUAAAUUUAUUUUACAUGUAAAUUUUAGUGUUAAUUUUUAAUUAUUUUAAUAAUAAUUAUUAAUAUUUGCAGUAAUUAAAAUUAAAAAUUUAAGAAAUUAAGAUUUAGAAAUAUUUUGAUUAUUAACAAAUUUUGUGCCAGCCCGUUGCGGUUAUACAAAAAAUAAUUUAAAUUUUAUCGGUAUAUAAUAAAUAAGAAUUAUUAUUUAAAUUAAAUAUUAAAUUAUUAAGUGAAAUUUUAAUUUAAUUAAAAUUUAUAUUAAUUUUAUGAUUUAUUAAAUUUUAUAAAAAACUAGGAUUAGAUACCCUAUUAUUAAAAAUUAAAUUUAUAAUACUAAAAUAGUAGAUAAUAAUUUAUUGAAACUUAAAUAAUUUGGCGGUAUUUUAGUUCAUUUAGAGGAAUCUGUUUAAUAAUUGAUAAUCCACGAAUAAAUUUACUUAAUUUAUUAUUUUGUAUAUCGUUGUUAAAAAAAUAUUUUUUAAUAAAAAUAAUAUUUAAAAAUUUUUAUAUAAAAUUAAUUCAGAUCAAGAUGCAGAUUAUAAUUAAGAAUAUAAUGGAUUACAAUAAAUAAAUUUAAAUGAAUAAUAUUUUUUAAUAAAUAUUUGAAGGUGGAUUUAAAUGUAAUUUUAAUUAAUUUAUUAAAAUGAUUAUAUAUUAAAAUAUGUACAUAUUGCCCGUCGCUUUCAUUAAUAAAUUGGAAUAAGUCGUAACAAAGUAGAGGUACUGGAAAGUGUUUCUAGAAAGAA